RNAcentral lists this non-coding RNA (23 nucleotides) under Columba livia (rock pigeon). The record is from miRBase by way of RNAcentral. RNAcentral also lists the same sequence under 1 other name. Lineage: Eukaryota; Metazoa; Chordata; Aves; Columbiformes; Columbidae.
UUAGUGCGCGGUAAGCUAGGGUG